CCUACGGGUGGCUGCAGUAGGGAAUAUUGGGCAAUGGACGCAAGUCUGACCCAGCCACGCCGCGUGAAGGAUGACUGCCCUAUGGGUUGUAAACUUCUUUUGUAUGGGAAGAAACCUCCGAACGUGUUCGGAGCUGACGGUACCAUAAGAAUAAGCAUCGGCUAACUCCGUGCCAGCAGCCGCGGUAAUACGGAGGAUGACGGCGUCAUCCGGAUUCAUGGGGUUUAAAGGGUAGAAUGACGUCAGUGGAGAAAGCUCUCAGCUUAACUGUGAAAAUGCCAUUGAAACUGAUUUUCUUGAGUUCGAUUGAGGUAGAUGGAAUGUAUCAUGUAGCGGUGUAAUGCUUAGAUAUGAUACAGAACACCAAUUGCGAAGGCAGUCUACUAAGUCGAUACUGACGCUGAGGCACGAAAGCAUGGGGAGCAAACAGGAUUAGAUACCCUUGUAGUC
This 450-nucleotide ribosomal RNA is filed under the name uncultured bacterium. RNAcentral's name for it is "partial 16S ribosomal RNA". It matches the Rfam family "Bacterial small subunit ribosomal RNA", at positions 338 to 795 of the family's 1533-position model. The record is from RNAcentral.